This 253-nucleotide ribosomal RNA is filed under the name uncultured bacterium. Its description in RNAcentral is "partial 16S ribosomal RNA". It matches the Rfam family "Bacterial small subunit ribosomal RNA", at positions 524 to 776 of the family's 1533-position model. The record is from RNAcentral.
UACGUAGGGGGCAAGCGUUAUCCGGAUUUACUGGGUGUAAAGGGGGCGCAGACGGCAAUGCAAGCCAGGAGUGAAAGCCCGGGGCCCAACCCCGGGACUGCUCUUGGAACUGCAUGGCUGGAGUACAGGAGGGGCAGGCGGAAUUCCUAGUGUAGCGGUGAAAUGCGUAGAUAUUAGGAGGAACACCGGUGGCGAAGGCGGCCUGCUGGACUGUGACUGACGUUGAGGCCCGAAGGCAUGGGGAGCAAACAGG